This 253-nucleotide ribosomal RNA is filed under the name uncultured bacterium. RNAcentral describes it as "partial 16S ribosomal RNA". It matches the Rfam family "Bacterial small subunit ribosomal RNA", at positions 524 to 776 of the family's 1533-position model. The record is from RNAcentral.
UACGUAGGUGGCAAGCGUUGUCCGGAUUUAUUGGGUUUAAAGGGUGCGUAGGCGGCUUUGUAAGUCAGUGGUGAAAGCCGGUAGCUUAACUAUCGAAAUGCCAUUGAUACUGCAGAGCUUGAGUACAGUUGAGGUAGGCGGAAUUGACAGUGUAGCGGUGAAAUGCUUAGAUAUUGUCAAGAACUCCGAUUGCGAAGGCAGCUUACUAAAGUGUAACUGACGCUGAGGCACGAAAGUGCGGGGAUCAAACAGG